RNAcentral lists this ribosomal RNA (239 nucleotides) under uncultured soil bacterium. Its description in RNAcentral is "partial 16S ribosomal RNA". It matches the Rfam family "Bacterial small subunit ribosomal RNA", at positions 26 to 267 of the family's 1533-position model. The record is from RNAcentral.
AGAUUGAACGCUGGCGGCAUGCCUUACACAUGCAAGUCGAACGGCAGCACGGGAGCAAUCCUGGUGGCGAGUGGCGAACGGGUGAGUAAUAUAUCGAACGUGCCCAGUCGUGGGGGAUAACGCAGCGAAAGCUGUGCUAAUACCGCAUACCAUCUCUGGAUGAAAGCGGGGGACUCGCAAGGGCCUCGCGCGAUUGGAGCGGCCGAUAUCAGAUUAGCUAGUUGGUGGGGUAAAGCCCA